RNAcentral lists this ribosomal RNA (761 nucleotides) under uncultured Tepidimonas sp. RNAcentral's name for it is "bacterial SSU rRNA". It matches the Rfam family "Bacterial small subunit ribosomal RNA", at positions 28 to 776 of the family's 1533-position model. The record is from RNAcentral. Lineage: Bacteria; Pseudomonadati; Pseudomonadota; Betaproteobacteria; Burkholderiales.
AUUGAACGCUGGCGGCAUGCUUUACACAUGCAAGUCGAACGGUAACAGGCCUUCGGGUGCUGACGAGUGGCGAGCGGGUGAGUAAUGCAUCGGAACGUGCCCAGAGGUGGGGGAUAACGCAGCGAAAGCUGUGCUAAUACCGCAUGUGAUCUGAGGAUGAAAGCGGGGGACCAAGCAGCAAUGUUUGGCCUCGCGCCUCUGGAGCGGCCGAUGUCAGAUUAGGUAGUUGGUGGGGUAAAGGCCUACCAAGCCGACGAUCUGUAGCUGGUCUGAGAGGACGACCAGCCACACUGGGACUGAGACACGGCCCAGACUCCUACGGGAGGCAGCAGUGGGGAAUUUUGGACAAUGGGCGCAAGCCUGAUCCAGCAAUGCCGCGUGCGGGAAGAAGGCCUUCGGGUUGUAAACCGCUUUUGUACGGAACGAAAAGGCUCUGGCUAAUACCUGGGGCUGAUGACGGUACCGUAAGAAUAAGCACCGGCUAACUACGUGCCAGCAGCCGCGGUAAUACGUAGGGUGCGAGCGUUAAUCGGAAUUACUGGGCGUAAAGCGUGCGCAGGCGGUCUUGUAAGACAGAGGUGAAAUCCCUGGGCUCAACCUAGGAAUGGCCUUUGUGACUGCAAGGCUGGAGUGCGGCAGAGGGGGAUGGAAUUCCGCGUGUAGCAGUGAAAUGCGUAGAUAUGCGGAGGAACACCGAUGGCGAAGGCAGUCCCCUGGGCCUGCACUGACGCUCAUGCACGAAAGCGUGGGGAGCAAACAGG